UACGUAGGUGGCAAGCGUUGUCCGGAUUUACUGGGCGUAAAGAGCGCGCAGGCGGUCGGAUCAGUCGAAUGUGAAAGCCCCCGGCUCAACUGGGGAGGGUCAUUCGAUACUGUCCGACUCGAAGGCAGGAGAGGGAAGCGGAAUUCCCGGUGUAGCAGUGAAAUGCGUAGAGAUCGGGAGGAACAUCUGUGGCGAAGGCGGCCAUCUGGACCAGCACUGACACUGAGGCACGAAAGCGUGGGGAGCAAACAGG
This 253-nucleotide ribosomal RNA is filed under the name uncultured bacterium. RNAcentral's name for it is "partial 16S ribosomal RNA". It matches the Rfam family "Bacterial small subunit ribosomal RNA", at positions 524 to 776 of the family's 1533-position model. The record is from RNAcentral.